GCACAAUGCCAGGCAACAGGCAGUAGAAACAGUAUCAAAAUGCCAAAAUGUGUUGCCAAAAAUUGUAAAAGUGCAUCUACUAAAGGAAUUAAAACGUGUUCCUUUCCACAAGAAAGGGAAAUACAAAUAUUAUGGAUUAAAAAUAUAGGUCUAAGUAACUGGCAGCCGAAAAAGUCACGUUUGUGUGAGAUAUCAUCAAUGAAUCCACUUCAUUAUUACCCAAGUAUGAAGAUACCCA
This is a long non-coding RNA of Harpegnathos saltator (Jerdon's jumping ant), 238 nucleotides long. RefSeq lists it as uncharacterized. The transcript is spliced from 3 exons. The record is from RefSeq and is a predicted model, not a curated record. Lineage: Eukaryota; Metazoa; Arthropoda; Insecta; Hymenoptera; Formicidae.